GUGUAGUGACGUUGUUCACCUAAAAAAACAUAAAACAAACAGAAAUAGUUUAGCCGAACUACGGAAACUCUGAUUCUCAUGUUCCGAUGAGAUACGUAGGCCCGAGAUGCGAUGUCUUGUCGAGUUUGACUGACGACUAACAUUUAAUCCUUGCUGGUUUUCGCCCUCGUUGCGAUUCUUUUCUCUCGCCCUCGUUGCGAUCGAGACCUUCCUUUUCUCUUGCCCUUGUUGCAAUCGAG
RNAcentral lists this long non-coding RNA (239 nucleotides) under Lathyrus oleraceus (garden pea). Its description in RNAcentral is "Pisum sativum (pea) long non-coding RNA (PSAT_LNC034978)". Lineage: Eukaryota; Viridiplantae; Streptophyta; Magnoliopsida; Fabales; Fabaceae. The record is from RNAcentral.